CCGAAUUGGACCGAGGUUUUGGCUAGCCCCCCAUUGUCAGACGUCCCGAGCGCGUUCCCGAAGUCGGAAUCGGCAAAGGUGAUCCGGGACAACCUUCUUCCUCCGCCCAGCCGCCACAGUGAUUGUCGUCAAGUCUGCCGCAGGAGGAUAUUUUAUUCUGGGUUAACCUGCUUUUAUACUUCGCAGGUUGUUUAUCGAUAUUUGUGUAAUUUUAUUUACUCCUAGAAUUUCCGCAUGUGUUAGCAGUAAUUAUUUGAAUUUGGUCUGUAAUAUUAUUAUCAUGUUGGACCUGUAAACUUAAUAUUUUAAGUCUGUUUUGAUGGAUUGGAUGAGGGAGCUGAGCUCCCAUUUAUUAUUA
Long non-coding RNA from Hevea brasiliensis (rubber tree), 358 nucleotides. RefSeq lists it as uncharacterized. NCBI's taxonomy places the organism in Eukaryota, Viridiplantae, Streptophyta, Magnoliopsida, Malpighiales, Euphorbiaceae. The record is from RefSeq and is a predicted model, not a curated record. The transcript is spliced from 3 exons.